AAUGAACGCUGGCGGCGCGCCUAAUACAUGCAAGUCGAGCGAGAAGACGUAGCAAUACGUUUGUAAAGCGGCGAACGGGUGAGGAAUACAUGGGUAACCUACCCUAGAGUGGGGAAUUACUAGCCGAAAGGUUAGCUAAUACCGCGUACGCUCCUUGGACUUCGGUUCAGGGAGGAAAGCGAUACCGAGGGUAUCGCGCUCUUGGAUGGGCUCAUGUCCUAUCAGCUUGUUGGUGAGGUAACGGCUCACCAAGGCUUCGACGGGUAGCUGGUCUGAGAGGACGAUCAGCCACACUGGCACUGCGACACGGGCCAGACUCCUACGGGAGGCAGCAGUAAGGAAUAUUGCGCAAUGGGCGAAAGCCUGACGCAGCGACGCCGCGUGGGGGAU
This 390-nucleotide ribosomal RNA is filed under the name uncultured bacterium. RNAcentral's name for it is "bacterial SSU rRNA". It matches the Rfam family "Bacterial small subunit ribosomal RNA", at positions 29 to 409 of the family's 1533-position model. The record is from RNAcentral.